Molecule: long non-coding RNA, 822 nt
Organism: Myotis lucifugus (little brown bat)
Lineage: Eukaryota; Metazoa; Chordata; Mammalia; Chiroptera; Vespertilionidae
Exons: 3
Source: RefSeq, a predicted model, not a curated record
GCUACCACAUGCCUUGCACAAAAUAGGUGUUCAUUAAACGAAUGAACCAAUAGAACCAUAAUUUCAUCACUAAAAUGGGUCAGAAGGUGCUUUUUUCUUUUUUAGAUGAUUCAUAGAACACUUCAGGAUCUCAAAGUGCUUUUGAUUUAUUAUGACUAACACAAACCAUCAUUGGAGAGGCUGAAAAUAAAUCUGGGUAUUUGAAUUUCCUGGUUUGGAUUUCUGAACAAAACUGAGAGAAAGUACAUUUAGCAACCAGGGGACUGACAGAACCUAAAGGAAAAAUUGAGAAAGACACCCUGAAGGCCUGUGCUGCCCUGCCAGGAGGAACAAGCUCAGAUGUUGGUGCUCUGGCAGUGAUCUCUAUCUUUGCUGUGCAGCUGUAGACAAAAGGAUUAGUGAUGGCCAUGGGCGACAUGCAACAAGAUUGACAAAAGGCUCAGCAGUAAGAACAGCGUCCACCCAGUGCUGGGUGCAGAAUGUGAACCUGAAGACAAGGCAGGGAAGACAGGGUGGUAUGUCUUUCCUUGGGGAUGGGGAUUGGUAAACAUAGAACAAAUAAUGCAGGCCUUUUCCAUGAGAGGAAUUUGGGGCCACCCCACUGCCUGAGAGGUAGGACAAUUUGCAGUUAUCCUUUGCUGCUACCAGGAUCUGCAGCCUUCCCCAGUGUAGGCUCCCCUGGUGUUAUGCGCCCUGCUUAGCUUCUGUGUUUGCACACAGGCCUGUUGUGCACCCUGCAGGGGCUGGCCAAUCAAAUGUGUCUGAAGUAUGCUGUAAUUAUAUAGGAUGUCCCAAAAAUUUAUAUACAUACUUUGAAUAAUU